GAAGUGGGUAUCCGCACGAGCGCACCUCAUCUUUAGUUGCCAUCAGUUCGGCUGGGCACUCUAGAGAAACUGCCUGGGAUGACCAGGAGGAAGGCGGGGAUGACGUCAAGUCCUCAUGGCCCUUAUGGGCUGGGCUACACACGUGCUACAAUGGCGGUAACAGAGGGAUGCAAUACGGCAACGUGGAGCAAAUCCCCAAAAACCGUCUCAGUUCGGAUUGUUCUCUGCAACUCGAGAGCAUGAAGUUGGAAUCGCUAGUAAUCGUAGAUCAGCAUGCUACGGUGAAUACGUUCCCGGGCCUUGUACACACCGCCCGUCACACCAUGGGAGUUGGUUUUACCCGAAGACGGUAUCCUAACCUUUUUGGAGGGAGCCGGCCACGGUAGGGUCAGCGACUGGGGUGAAGUCGUAACAAGGUAGCCGUAGGGGAACCUGCGGCUGGAUCACCUCCUUUCU
RNAcentral lists this ribosomal RNA (456 nucleotides) under uncultured Alphaproteobacteria bacterium. RNAcentral describes it as "bacterial SSU rRNA". It matches the Rfam family "Bacterial small subunit ribosomal RNA", at positions 1071 to 1533 of the family's 1533-position model. Lineage: Bacteria; Pseudomonadati; Pseudomonadota; Alphaproteobacteria. The record is from RNAcentral.